UAACGAUUACAGCCGAUCAAUCAUUUCCCUGUUGCCAUGGCGAAGAGUAUGGAGGUGAAGAUCGCGGUGUUUGGCAGAGCCGGAGUCGGUAAAUCUGCUCUGGUUGUGAGAUUCUUAACCAAAAGAUUCAUCUGGGAGUACGACCCGACCCUCGAGUCGACGUA
Nanorana parkeri is the source of this 164-nucleotide long non-coding RNA. RefSeq lists it as uncharacterized. The record is from RefSeq and is a predicted model, not a curated record. Lineage: Eukaryota; Metazoa; Chordata; Amphibia; Anura; Dicroglossidae. The transcript has 3 exons.